AAUAGAUACCCUGGUAGUCCACGCCGUAAACGAUGUCGACUUGGAGGUUGUUCCCUUGAGGAGUGGCUUCCGGAGCUAACGCGUUAAGUCGACCGCCUGGGGAGUACGGCCGCAAGGUUAAAACUCAAAUGAAUUGACGGGGGCCCGCACAAGCGGUGGAGCAUGUGGUUUAAUUCGAUGCAACGCGAAGAACCUUACCUACUCUUGACAUCCACGGAACUUUUCAGAGAUGAAUUGGUGCCUUCGGGAACCGUGAGACAGGUGCUGCAUGGCUGUCGUCAGCUCGUGUUGUGAAAUGUUGGGUUAAGUCCCGCAACGAGCGCAACCCUUAUCCUUUGUUGCCAGCGGUCCGGCCGGGAACUCAAAGGAGACUGCCAGUGAUAAACUGGAGGAAGGUGGGGAUGACGUCAAGUCGUCAUGGCCCUUACGAGUAGGGCUACACACGUGCUACAAUGGCGCAUACAAAGAGAAGCGACCUCGCGAGAGCAAGCGGACCUCAUAAAGUGCGUCGUAGUCCGGAUUGGAGUCUGCAACUCGACU
This 540-nucleotide ribosomal RNA is filed under the name uncultured bacterium. Its description in RNAcentral is "bacterial SSU rRNA". It matches the Rfam family "Bacterial small subunit ribosomal RNA", at positions 777 to 1317 of the family's 1533-position model. The record is from RNAcentral.